AUACGGAGGGUGCAAGCGUUAAUCGGAAUUACUGGGCGUAAAGGGUUCGUAGGCGGUUAUUUAAGUCAGAUGUGAAAGCCCCGGGCUCAACCUGGGAAUUGCAUCUGAUACUGGGUAACUAGAGUUUAAGAGAGGAGUGUGGUAUUUCCGGUGUAGCGGUGAAAUGCAUAGAGAUCGGAAGGAACAUCAGUGGCGAAGGCGGCACUCUGGCUUACAACUGACGCUGAGGAACGAAAGCGUGGGUAGCAAACAGGAUUAGAAACCCUAGUAGUCC
This 274-nucleotide ribosomal RNA is filed under the name uncultured bacterium. Its description in RNAcentral is "partial 16S ribosomal RNA". It matches the Rfam family "Bacterial small subunit ribosomal RNA", at positions 523 to 796 of the family's 1533-position model. The record is from RNAcentral.